GAUGAACGCUAGCUACAGGCUUAACACAUGCAAGUCGAGGGGAAACGGCAUUGAGUGCUUGCACUCUUUGGACGUCGACCGGCGCACGGGUGAGUAACGCGUAUCCAACCUUCCCAUUACUGUGUGAUAACCUGCCGAAAGGCAGACUAAUACCGCAUAGUCUUCGAUGACGGCAUCAGAUUUGAAGUAAAGAUUUAUCGGUAAUGGAUGGGGCUGCGUCUGAUUAGCUUGUUGGCGGGGUAACGGCCCACCAAGGCUACGAUCAGUAGGGGUUCUGAGAGGAAGGUCCCCCACAUUGGAACUGGGACACGGUCCAAACUCCUACGGGAGACAGCAGUGAGGAAUAUUGGUCAAUGGACGGAAGUCUGAACCAGCCAAGUAGCGUGCAGGAUGACGGCCCUAUGGGUUGUAAACUGCUUUUGUAUGGGGAUAAAGUUAGGGACGUGUCCCUAUUUGCAGGUACCAUACGAAUAAGGACCGGCUAAUUCCGUG
Molecule: ribosomal RNA, 492 nt
Filed under: uncultured bacterium
Lineage: Bacteria
Description: partial 16S ribosomal RNA
Rfam family: Bacterial small subunit ribosomal RNA
Source: RNAcentral